Molecule: ribosomal RNA, 507 nt
Filed under: uncultured Glomeraceae
Lineage: Eukaryota; Fungi; Glomeromycota; Glomeromycetes; Glomerales; Glomeraceae
Description: SSU rRNA
Rfam family: Eukaryotic small subunit ribosomal RNA
Source: RNAcentral
AGCAGCCGCGGUAAUUCCAGCUCCAAUAGCGUAUAUUAAAGUUGUUGCAGUUAAAAAGCUCGUAGUUGAAUUUCGAGACCGGUUUAUUGGUCGUGCUUUUGUACGUACUGGUAUUAUUGGUUUCUCCUUUCUGACGAAUCUUAAUGCCAUUAAUUUGGUGUUUUGGGGAAUCAGGACUGUUACUUUGAAAAAUUAGAGUAUUUAAAGCAGGCUCGCGCUUGAAUACAUUAGCAUGGAAUAAUGAAAUAGGACGUUUGGUCCUAUUUUGUUGGUUUCUAGGAUCGACGUAAUGAUUUAUAGGGAUAGUUGGGGGCAUUAGUAUUCAAUUGUCAGAGGUGAAAUUCUUGGAUUUAUUGAAGACUAACUACUGCGAAAGCAUUUGCCAAGGAUGUUUUCAUUAAUCAAGAACGAAAGUUAGGGGAUCGAAGACGAUCAGAUACCGUCGUAGUCUUAACCAUAAACUAUGCCGACUAGGGAUCGGAUGAUGUUAAUUUUUUAAUGGUCUCA